GGACCCGCACAAGCGGUGGAGCAUGUGGUUUAAUUCGAUGCAACGCGAAGAACCUUACCUGGUCUUGACAUCCUGCGAACUUUCUAGAAAUAGAUUGGUGCCUUCGGGAACGCAGUGACAGGUGCUGCAUGGCUGUCGUCAGCUCGUGUCGUGAGAUGUUGGGUUAAGUCCCGUAACGAGCGCAACCCCUAUCCUUAUUUGCCAGCACAUCAUGGUGGGAACUAUAAGGAGACUGCCGGUGAUAAACCGGAGGAAGGCGGGGACGACGUCAAGUCAUCAUGGCCCUUACGACCAGGGCUACACACGUGCUACAAUGGGAAGGACAAAGAGCCGCGAAGCCGCGAGGUGUAGCUAAUCUCAUAAACCUUUUCGUAGUCCGGAUUGGAGUCUGCAACUCGACUCCAUGAAGUCGGAAUCGCUAGUAAUCG
RNAcentral lists this ribosomal RNA (428 nucleotides) under uncultured bacterium. RNAcentral's name for it is "bacterial SSU rRNA". It matches the Rfam family "Bacterial small subunit ribosomal RNA", at positions 917 to 1344 of the family's 1533-position model. The record is from RNAcentral.